RNAcentral lists this small nuclear RNA (96 nucleotides) under Penicillium polonicum. Lineage: Eukaryota; Fungi; Ascomycota; Eurotiomycetes; Eurotiales; Aspergillaceae. The record is from RNAcentral.
GUUAUUUUUCUCUUCAGGGCAUAUGGUGAAAUGAAAAUAUACAGAAAAGAUUAGCAUGGCCCCUGCACUAUGACAUGCCUCUUUUUCCUUAUAUUC